RNAcentral lists this ribosomal RNA (468 nucleotides) under uncultured bacterium. RNAcentral describes it as "partial 16S ribosomal RNA". It matches the Rfam family "Bacterial small subunit ribosomal RNA", at positions 28 to 507 of the family's 1533-position model. The record is from RNAcentral.
GACGAACGCUGGCGGCGUGCUUAACACAUGCAAGUCGAACGGAAAGGCCCUGCUUUUGUGGGGUGCUCGAGUGGCGAACGGGUGAGUAACACGUGAGUAACCUGCCCUUGACUUUGGGAUAACUUCAGGAAACUGGGGCUAAUACCGGAUAGGAGCUCCUGUUGCAUGGUGGGGGUGGGAAAGUUUCGGCGGUUGGGGAUGGACUCGCGGCUUAUCAGCUUGUUGGUGGGGUAGUGGCUUACCAAGGCUUUGACGGGUAGCCGGCCUGAGAGGGUGACCGGCCACAUUGGGACUGAGAUACGGCCCAGACUCCUACGGGAGGCAGCAGUGGGGAAUAUUGCACAAUGGGCGGAAGCCUGAUGCAGCAACGCCGCGUGCGGGAUGACGGCCUUCGGGUUGUAAACCGCUUUCGCCUGUGACGAAGCGUGAGUGACGGUAAUGGGUAAAGAAGCACCGGCUAACUACGUG